GUACUUCGGAGGUACAUAUACUGAAGUUGGAACGCUACAGAGAAGACAAGUAUGGCCUCUGCACAAGGACGACAUGCAAAAUAGUGGGGCGUGCCUUAUUUUU
This 103-nucleotide small nuclear RNA is filed under the name Fasciola hepatica (liver fluke). Lineage: Eukaryota; Metazoa; Platyhelminthes; Trematoda; Plagiorchiida; Fasciolidae. The record is from RNAcentral.